RNAcentral lists this ribosomal RNA (277 nucleotides) under uncultured eukaryote. Its description in RNAcentral is "partial 18S ribosomal RNA". It matches the Rfam family "Eukaryotic small subunit ribosomal RNA", at positions 21 to 299 of the family's 1831-position model. The record is from RNAcentral.
UAGUCAUAUGCUUGUCUAAAAGAUUAAGCCAUGCACGUCUAUGUAUAAAUGUAUUUUAUACAUGAAACUGCGCAUAGCUCAUUAAACCAGUUAUAGUUUAUUUGAUGUUGACUUGCUACAUGGAUAACCGUAGUAAUUCUAGAGCUAAUACAUGCCAAAAAGACCUGACCGUAUGGAAGGGUUGUAUUUAUUAGAUAAAAAACCAUUCUCGCAAGAGUUUUGUGGUGAUUCAUAAUAACUGUUCGAAGCGCAUGCCGCAAGGCGGCGCUAGAUCAUU